Molecule: small nuclear RNA, 102 nt
Organism: Dromiciops gliroides (monito del monte)
Lineage: Eukaryota; Metazoa; Chordata; Mammalia; Microbiotheria; Microbiotheriidae
Source: RefSeq, a predicted model, not a curated record
GCAUACAACAGUGAGGUAAGCCCUAAAAUUGGAACAAUACAGAGAAUAGCAUAGCCCUUGCAUAAGGAUGACACCCAAAUUCAUGAAGUGUUCCAUAUUUGC